AAAAAAACUUCGGUUCUUUUUUCUAGUGGCGGACGGGUGAGUAACGCGUAAGAACCUACCCCUUGGAGAGGGAUAGCCACUGGAAACGGUGAUUAAUACCUCGUAUGCUGAGGAGUGAAAGACCGUAAGGUCGCCAAGGGAUGGGCUUGCGUCUGAUUAGCUAGUUGGGUGGGGUAAAGGCCUCCCAAGGCGAUGAUCAGUAGCUGGUCUGAGAGGACAAUCAGCCACACUGGGACUGAGACACGGCCCAGACUCCUACGGGAGGCAGCAGUGAGGAAUUUUCCGCAAUGGGCGAAAGCCUGACGGAGCAAUGCCGCGUGGAGGAGGAAGGCCUGUGGGUCGUAAACUCCUUUUCUCAGAGAAGAAGUUCUGACGGUAUCUGAGGAAUAAGCAUCGGCUAACUCUGUGCCAGCAGCCGCGGUAAUACAGGGGAUGCAAGCGUUAUCCGGAAUUAUUGGGCGUAAAGCGUCCUGAGGUGGCUUACCCAGUCGACUGUGAAAGCUCAAGGCUUAACCUUGAAACGGCAGUCGAAACUUGUAAGCUUGAGUACGGUAGGGGCAGAGGGAAUUCCCGGAGGAGAGGUGAAAUUCGUAGAUAUCGGGAGGAAGGCCAAAGGCGAAAGCACUCUGCUGGGCCGAUUACUGACACUGACAGACGAAAGCUAGGGGAGCGAAAGGGAUUAGAUACCCCUGUAGUCCUAGCCGUAAACGAUGGAUACUAAGUGUUGCGCGACUCAAAACGUGCAGUGCUGCAGCUAACGCGGUAAGUAUCCCGCCUGGGGAGUAUGCCCCCCAGGGUGAAAACUCAAAAGAAUUGA
Molecule: ribosomal RNA, 817 nt
Filed under: uncultured cyanobacterium
Lineage: Bacteria; Bacillati; Cyanobacteriota
Description: bacterial SSU rRNA
Rfam family: Bacterial small subunit ribosomal RNA
Source: RNAcentral